This 105-nucleotide non-coding RNA is filed under the name Chloropicon laureae. Lineage: Eukaryota; Viridiplantae; Chlorophyta; Chloropicophyceae; Chloropicales; Chloropicaceae. The record is from RNAcentral.
AUUCAAGAGAAUUUUCAAGAGAACGAAAAAUACACCGCGGUGUUGUCCGUUUUUUUUUAAUUCACCAAAAAGUGUUUUUCCUUUUUUUCAAAUUUUAAUUUCUUG